This 411-nucleotide long non-coding RNA is filed under the name Capsicum annuum. RNAcentral describes it as "long non-coding RNA (CANN_LNC012754)". The record is from RNAcentral. Lineage: Eukaryota; Viridiplantae; Streptophyta; Magnoliopsida; Solanales; Solanaceae.
UUUUCAAGUCACUAACUCACUUAUCAAGUGACCACACUUAACUAAAUUCAAAACACAAGUCCACAUUUCAAGUACCUAUACUUAAAUAUUUUCGACUCACUAACUCACUUCUCUAGUGACCACACUUAGCUAUAUUCAAAAUACAAGUCCACCUUUCAAGUAACUACACUUAAACAUUUUUGGCUCACUAAUUCACUUCUCAAAUGACCAUAUUUAACUAAAUUCAAAACGCAAGUCCACAUUUUAAGUACCUACACUUAAAUAUUUUCAAGUCACUUAUUCACUUCUCUAGUGACCACACUUAACUAUAUUCAAAACACAAGUUCACCUUUCAAGUAACUACACUUAAACAUUUUUGACUCACUAAUUCACUUCUUAAGUGACCACACUUUAGUAAAUUCUACACAUUCA